AACGAACGCUUGCGGCGCGCCUAAUACAUGCAAGUCGAACGAGAAAGGCCCUUCGGGGACGAGUAAAGUGGCGGACGGGUGAGGAACGCGUGGAUAACAUGCCCUUCAGCGGGGGAUAACUAUUCGAAAGGAUAGCUAAUACCGCAUAAGACUACGACUCCUGCGGGUAACGUAGUAAAAGACUUCGGUCACUGAAGGAUUGGUCCGCGUCCGAUUAGCUUGUUGGUGGGGUAAAAGCCUACCAAGGCUACGAUCGGUAGCUGGUCUCAGAGGAUGAUCAGCCACACUGGAACUGAGACACGGUCCAGACUCCUACGGGAGGCAGCAGUAGGGAAUAUUGCACAAUGGAGGAAACUCUGAUGCAGCGACGCCGCGUGAGCGAUGAAGGCCUUCGGGUUGUAAAGCUCUGUGAUAUGGGAAGAUAAUGACGGUACCAUAUCAGAAAGGACCGGCUAACUUCG
This 461-nucleotide ribosomal RNA is filed under the name uncultured Bdellovibrio sp. RNAcentral's name for it is "bacterial SSU rRNA". It matches the Rfam family "Bacterial small subunit ribosomal RNA", at positions 29 to 505 of the family's 1533-position model. Lineage: Bacteria; Pseudomonadati; Bdellovibrionota; Bdellovibrionia; Bdellovibrionales; Pseudobdellovibrionaceae. The record is from RNAcentral.